RNAcentral lists this ribosomal RNA (253 nucleotides) under uncultured bacterium. Its description in RNAcentral is "partial 16S ribosomal RNA". It matches the Rfam family "Bacterial small subunit ribosomal RNA", at positions 524 to 776 of the family's 1533-position model. The record is from RNAcentral.
UACGAAGGGGGCUAGCGUUGCUCGGAAUCACUGGGCGUAAAGGGUGCGUAGGCGGGUCUUUAAGCCAGGGGUGAAAUCCUGGAGCUCAACUCCAGAACUGCCUUUGAUACUGAAGAUCUUGAGUUCGGGAGAGGUGAGUGGAACUGCGAGUGUAGAGGUGAAAUUCGUAGAUAUUCGCAAGAACACCAGUGGCGAAGGCGGCUCACUGGCCCGGUACUGACGCUGAGGUGCGAAAGCGUGGGGAGCAAACAGG